UACAGAGGGGGCAAGCGUUAUUCGGAAUUAUUGGGCGUAAAGGGCGCGUAGGCGGCUUGGCAAGUGGAAGGUGAAAUCCCUCGGCUUAACCGAGGAACUGCCUCCCAAACUGCUUGGCUUGAGACCAGGAGAGGUGAGUGGAAUUCCCAGUGUAGCGGUGAAAUGCGUAGAUAUUGGGAGGAACACCAGUGGCGAAGGCGGCUCACUGGACUGGUACUGACGCUGAUGCGCGAAAGCGUGGGGAGCAAACAGG
Molecule: ribosomal RNA, 253 nt
Filed under: uncultured bacterium
Lineage: Bacteria
Description: partial 16S ribosomal RNA
Rfam family: Bacterial small subunit ribosomal RNA
Source: RNAcentral